Molecule: long non-coding RNA, 89 nt
Organism: Etheostoma cragini (Arkansas darter)
Lineage: Eukaryota; Metazoa; Chordata; Actinopteri; Perciformes; Percidae
Exons: 3
Source: RefSeq, a predicted model, not a curated record
UAACUGGCCUGUUCAGAGCCCUGACCUCAACCCCAUCCAACACAUUUGGGAUGAACUGGAACACAAACUGUAAGCCAGAUCUUAGCACC